GACGAACGCUUUCUUCUUUCUUAACACAUGCAAGUCGUACGGUAAGGCCCUUUCGGGGGUCCACGAGUGGCGAACGGGUGAGUAACACGUGAGUAACCUGCCCACAACUUUGGGAUAACGCUAGGAAACUGGUGCUAAUACUGGAUAUGUGCUCCUGCUGCAUGGUGGGGGUUGGAAAGCUCCGGCGGUUGUGGAUGGACUCGCGGCCUAUCAGCUUGUUGGUGGGGUAGUGGCCUACCAAGGCGGCGACGGGUAGCCGGCCUGAGAGGGUGACCGGCCACAUUGGGACUGAGAUACGGCCCAGACGCCUACGGGAGGCAGCAGUGGGGAAUAUUGCACAAGGGGCGCAAGCCUGAUGCAGCAACGCCGCGUGCGGGAUGACGGCCUUCGGGUUGUAAACCGCUUUCAGCAGGGACGAAGCUUUUUGUGACGGUACCUGCAGAAGAAGCACCGGCUAACUACGUG
This 465-nucleotide ribosomal RNA is filed under the name uncultured bacterium. RNAcentral describes it as "partial 16S ribosomal RNA". It matches the Rfam family "Bacterial small subunit ribosomal RNA", at positions 28 to 507 of the family's 1533-position model. The record is from RNAcentral.